This 253-nucleotide ribosomal RNA is filed under the name uncultured bacterium. RNAcentral describes it as "partial 16S ribosomal RNA". It matches the Rfam family "Bacterial small subunit ribosomal RNA", at positions 524 to 776 of the family's 1533-position model. The record is from RNAcentral.
GACAGAGGUGCCAAGCGUUAGGCGGAAUCAUUGGGCUUAAAGCGUGUGUAGGCGGAUUCCUAAGUACUUUGUGAAAUCCCACGGCUUAACCGUGGAACUGCUCGGUAUACUGGGUAUCUUGAGCCACUUAGGGGCGACCGGAACAAAUGGUGGAGCGGUGAAAUGCGCAGAUAUCGGGAGGAACACCAGUGGCGAAGGCGGUCUCUUGGGGCAUUCUUGACGCUGAGGCGCGAAAGCUGGGGGAGCGAACGGG